CUAGAUGUCCGGGGCCGCACGCGCGCUACACUGAAGGAAUCAGCGUGUGCUCUCCCGGUCCGUCAGGACCGGGUAACCCGUUGAAACUCCUUCGUGAUGGGGAUAGGGGCUUGUAACUGUUCCCCUUGAACGAGGAAUGCCCAGUAAGCGCGAGUCAUAAGCUCGUGCUGAUUACGUCCCUGCCCUUUGUGCACACYGCCCGUCGCUACUACCGAUUGAACGAUUUAGUGAGGUCUUCGGACUGGCUCUCGGAGCGGCCCAUCGCGGCCGGGCCGAGCUGCCGGAAAGAUGACCGAACUUGACCGUUUAGAGGAAGUAAAAGUCGUAACAAGGUUAUC
RNAcentral lists this ribosomal RNA (338 nucleotides) under Quamtana cf. entabeni DNA100433808. RNAcentral's name for it is "bacterial SSU rRNA". It matches the Rfam family "Eukaryotic small subunit ribosomal RNA", at positions 1492 to 1824 of the family's 1831-position model. The record is from RNAcentral. Lineage: Eukaryota; Metazoa; Arthropoda; Arachnida; Araneae; Pholcidae.